RNAcentral lists this ribosomal RNA (371 nucleotides) under Enterococcus sp. Its description in RNAcentral is "bacterial SSU rRNA". It matches the Rfam family "Bacterial small subunit ribosomal RNA", at positions 337 to 700 of the family's 1533-position model. The record is from RNAcentral. Lineage: Bacteria; Bacillati; Bacillota; Bacilli; Lactobacillales; Enterococcaceae.
UCCUACGGGAGGCAGCAGUAGGGAAUCUUCGGCAAUGGACGAAAGUCUGACCGAGCAACGCCGCGUGAGUGAAGAAGGUUUUCGGAUCGUAAAACUCUGUUGUUAGAGAAGAACAAGGACGUUAGUAACUGAACGUCCCCUGACGGUAUCUAACCAGAAAGCCACGGCUAACUACGUGCCAGCAGCCGCGGUAAUACGUAGGUGGCAAGCGUUGUCCGGAUUUAUUGGGCGUAAAGCGAGCGCAGGCGGUUUCUUAAGUCUGAUGUGAAAGCCCCCGGCUCAACCGGGGAGGGUCAUUGGAAACUGGGAGACUUGAGUGCAGAAGAGGAGAGUGGAAUUCCAUGUGUAGCGGUGAAAUGCGUAGAUAUAUG